GACGAACGCUGGCGGCGUGCUUAACACAUGCAAGUCGUGGGCACCAGCAAUGGUGACCGGCGAACGGGUGCGUAACACGUGAGCGACCUACCGAUUUGUGGGGGAUAGCCGGCCCAACGGCCGGGUAAUACCGCAUACGCCGAGCUUGCCGCAUGGCUUGCUCGGGAAACCUCCGGGGCAAAUCGAGGGGCUCGCGGCCUAUCAGCUAGUUGGCGAGGUAAUGGCUCACCAAGGCGACGACGGGUAGCUGGUCUGAGAGGAUGGCCAGCCACAUUGGGACUGAGAAC
RNAcentral lists this ribosomal RNA (287 nucleotides) under uncultured bacterium. Its description in RNAcentral is "partial 16S ribosomal RNA". It matches the Rfam family "Bacterial small subunit ribosomal RNA", at positions 28 to 326 of the family's 1533-position model. The record is from RNAcentral.